ACCCGUGUAUCAGCCUGAUUCAAUAUUGUCGGGCAACCUUCGUCUGAUCCCAUUUCUCUUCAUUCGUUACGCGCUCGUUCGUGUUCCGCUUUAUUAUCUCCCGACACUUUCACGCCUUUGUUACCGAACGACGUGUUUACGAUUCCAUAAAUCGCAUAUUUCCCUCGGCUGUUGUUCCUUCGACCCGACGCUUGCCUCUAAUGACGAUGUCAUUCUGGUAUCGCCGAGUCUCCGGUAUGUAAAUGAGAACGCUUUCACCGGUAUUAACCUUCGCGAAAAAAGAAGUCAGCCCACUCGAAUUCAGAGCCGAACUCAAUGAAAUUUUACAUGAUUUCGGAGAUUCCAGCCGCAUAUUUACGUACAAGAUGUUUGAUAGGGACGUCUACCAGGGAUGUGCAAGUACAGUCGCGGACAUACAGCGUGUCUUGUUUAAGCCAUUUGGCAGUGAUAAAUGAGUGAGGCGUCUAAAUUAGAUACGAAGAUAGUAAAUAGAUGCUCACAAUAACAAAAUACAAGCUGACAUACGCGACAAGCAUGUCUAUUGAAGAGGCAAUAAUCAUUUUCAAAGCACUGAAACUCUGCAAAGACCAACUAAAUGAAAAGUACACCAUUCUCACAGAUCCUCCCUACGUUAUAACAGCAACACAAAACUACAGACCGAAAACGAAAUAAUCUUAAACAAACAAGAUAUAUACAUAGAGAGAGAGAGAGAGAGAGAGAGAGAGAGAGAUAUGGAUAAGAAAAGAUUUAUAACCACUGAGACCCCUUCCGCUAUAACACAGCAGGAAAAGGAGAAGCGGACGAAGCAGCCAGAGAGAAACUAUCCUACUGCCUCCUAAGAAUGAAAUCAACAUACUAUCCCAGAAUAUCGAGGAAGCUAUCAGCUGCAAAACAGUAGAGGAAUGGCAAAAAGAAUGGACCGCUAUAAACUUCGCGAAACCAUACAAAAUAAUAGUGUACCGUUGCAGGUUUUUAUCUGACCAACCUACAAGUAAAGCUAUUCAAGUUACUCAAACUAUUCAGAGAUAAUCGGUCGUGCAAGACGGACGUACAAAUUCCUUCUGCAAAAUAAAAUUCACCUCAAUAUGAA
Non-coding RNA from Megalopta genalis, 1090 nucleotides. NCBI's taxonomy places the organism in Eukaryota, Metazoa, Arthropoda, Insecta, Hymenoptera, Halictidae. The record is from RefSeq and is a predicted model, not a curated record.